GUCACCUGCUCCUCAGAUCAGAAGGUGAUUGUGGCUUUGGGUGGAUAUUAAUCAGCCACAGCACUGCCUGGUCAGAAAGAGCAAGUGUC
This is a microRNA precursor of Cervus hanglu yarkandensis (Yarkand deer), 89 nucleotides long. The record is from Ensembl. NCBI's taxonomy places the organism in Eukaryota, Metazoa, Chordata, Mammalia, Artiodactyla, Cervidae.